Molecule: long non-coding RNA, 1638 nt
Filed under: Triticum aestivum (bread wheat)
Lineage: Eukaryota; Viridiplantae; Streptophyta; Magnoliopsida; Poales; Poaceae
Description: long non-coding RNA (TAES_LNC005941)
Source: RNAcentral
ACAGUGUAACAUCCAACAAUCAGCAUAUUUUGUGAGUGUUAAUGAACAAGUGGUGACAUUUUAUUCCUCAGCACCACCACGGACAAAUUCCAGGAUAGGUAAUUUGUGAUUAUGUUAAAGCACUAUGGUCUCUUUAAUCAACACCCUUUUUACAUCAGACAUGCCUAGUGCUCACUUAUGAAACCACAUGGCAUCUCACUCACGCAAGCAUAUUGCCACUGCCGCUCAUCCUUGCUAAUUCCUCCUCCCAAAGCUGCUCAAGAGCACAAAGAACAGAUUGCAUCUUCAUGUACGGAUGCGGUUAAGUAGCCAGAUGGGUUAAUCACUGAGCCAUCUCUCUUGUCGACGUAUGUUGUAGAGCACUCUUGCGAUUGGGAUUAAGCUCCAUCUCCUUUUGGAGUGCCUAUUAGCAGUCUGAGAAUAAUCACAUAAACACAUUUGCAUGAGAAACAACCCCAGUGUUUCCAGAUAAUGAAGGAAAACACAUUAACAUAAAUUAUACUGUAUCUGACUAGGAUAUGCCAUAACUAUACAGCAGAAGCAAAAACUAAAACACAUUUGUUAUAGCAUAAUUCUAGAUAUAACACAGCAAUCAAAAGGUAAUCAGCUAAUUGUCAAAAUCCAAACCAAUGAAGGCACACCUGCCGUCAGUUCUGCUAAUUAUAGCUAAUUUAAGGACUUGGCAAUGGGGAAAUUUAUUUCUUUGCUUAAUUAUCCACCAAAAUGAUCAGCUUAAUCACGGGAAACUGGCUAAACUUUUCUUUUCUUUUUAAUUGCACAGAAAGGCACGAACACCCUUCAUGAGGUGUUCUUCAGAAAAAUGUCAACAGAGUUACAUGAAUCAAAAUAGUACAACAUUCUUUCCCACUCAGAUCUUUGCAAUCAGUGGUACGAAUUCAAACUUUAAUCUACUCAAAUGAAAUAAUUAUUAGCCUUAGAUUAGCACAUCAAGAACAAACCAUCAAAACCAUUACUAAGUUCCAGCAGGAUGAAGCAUUGACUAUCAAAGUUAAAUGAAUUCCUCAAGACAUCACAAAAUCUCACUGGUUUAUGAACAUUUUUCUGUAACUGGAGUGAAGAUCAAAAGGGGGCACCUCAACAAAAAUCAAAGAUCAGCAAAAGUACUCAUUGAUGAUCACAACUGACAUUGAUUUUCUCAAGAAAAUUGGACAUCACAGAAAUAAAGAAAAAAAAUCAUGGCCAUGAAAAGCUAACCACAUACUAGUGUAUCCAAAGCCAAAGACCUUACCAGAUCGGAGUAUUAAAGAAACAAGAAACGAAAUCACAGCACCAUGCUUAAAAAACCAAGAAACGAAAUCACAGCAUCCAUGCUUAAAAAACACUAAGAAUCGCAAGGUUAGAGCUCGAGCCAUAGAUGACGUUGUCCCUGCUGACGAAUCUGGCACCUUCUUCCUCUGCCUCACCUGCAUCUUCAUGCUGCCGGCGCCCCCCCCCCAGAUCUGGCCGCACACAUACCUGUGCCGGAUCUGUCCUGCUCCUUCCCCGCCGGCGUUCCCUUCGCUGGAGCCUUGGAGGUGAGGCUGGGUACCUAGGUGGGUGGGGGUGGGGGCGAUAGGAACGAGGACGACAGAAGCGAGGGUGACGAUGGCAAUAAUGGAUGAGAGAGUAGCGCACGAU